RNAcentral lists this long non-coding RNA (615 nucleotides) under Homo sapiens (human). Its description in RNAcentral is "non-protein coding lnc-LOXL3-4:1". Lineage: Eukaryota; Metazoa; Chordata; Mammalia; Primates; Hominidae. The record is from RNAcentral.
AUGAAGCAGCAGGAUAGUAAUGAUGACACUGCAGAUGUUUCACUAAUUGAUGCAGAAGAGGAGACAACUAAUAGACCAAAAAAAUCCAAAAAUCAGAUAUUCAGUGGUAUCGUUUUCCACUUAUUCUUUCAAGUCAGUGCAAUCAUUGUCUAUCUUCUCUGUGAGUUACUCAGCAGCAGCUUUAUUGCCUGUAUGAUGACGAUUAUCUUGUUGUUGUCAUGUGACUUUUGGGCAGCAAAGAAUAUCACAGGUAGACUAAUGGUUGGCCUAUGUUGGUGGAGUCACAUUGAUGAAGAUGGAAAGAACCAUUGGGUGUUUGAAUCUAGAAAGUCUUCCUCUCAAGAUAAUAAAACUGUGUCAGAAGCUGAAUCAAGAAUCUUUUGAUUGGGACUUACAGUCUGUGCAGUGCUUUGGGUGAUAUUUGCCUUUAGUGCCUUGUUCUCCUUCAGAGUAAACUGGUUAGCAGUGGUUAUCAUGGGUAUGGUGUUAGCAGAUGCCAACCUAUAUGGUUACAUCAGGUGUAAGGUAAGCAGCAGAAAUAAUUUAACCAACAUGGCUACCUCGUAUCUUGUAAAGCAGUUUUUAAGACGAAACACUGGAGAUGAUCGGAGAAGC